UGCCUGCCACCACAUACCUGUGAUGUCUGCAUAUGGGUAACAUGGCUCCUGAAGCGUGCAUAUGUUACAGAGCAAAGCGAAAGGAAUUCUGCAAUUAGAAGAAUAUUCAUGGAAAUUAAGCUCUACUAAUUUGCAGCUGAUGGGAGCAAAGGGAAAAGAAUGAGAUUGAUUCCGUGGCUCGAUGCAGGCUGGUUAAAUGCAACUCCAGGACCCUCCAGCUUCCAACCUUCACUCACCCACAUGUGAAGAAAGCCCACCUGUGCCCUCCCGAAACCCCCAGCCCCCCUCACAGCUCAUCCCCACUCCCGCCAGCGGCCUCGCGCCGUACGGAUUUCGGAGCCCAUCGGUGAUUCAGCAGCGGGCACAGCACCCACACAAGUCACAUCAGUCAUGCUCCCAGUAUGAAGGAAAUGCUCGUAUGAGACAUAGCUAAAUAUUCUUGGGGUGGAGAGAAAGAUCUUUUCAUCUUACUUAAUUCCACACAGCAUCUGGCUGUUUCCCACUAACGAGCAACUAAUACUGCAAUUAAAGCCCUGCUAAUUGGAAACUCAGAAAUGCUGGGGUCUUUGCUUUUGUCUUUCACAGGUUUGCAGGCUGGCUGGGGCUGCGGCGGGCACACCGGAGUGGUGAUGCCAGCACCAGGAACUGCGACCUCCAGACUGGUAAAUUCACAUCCCUGCUGCAACAGGCACCAUGGCUCUGCAGGAAACAGCCGGCUCAGCGCCGAGACCCUGCCGUGCCACGGUACCCAGGCCACCAGCACCCACCCAGUCCCCACCAGCUGCUCACAGGACCCCUCUGUAAACGGGACAGACCUCGGGGAGGGGUCUGUGCAGCUGGGGGAUGCUGCUGGGGAGAGGGGCUCCUGUUCCCAGGGAGGACCUUGCAGCAGGUACCAUGCACAGUGGCCCGUCCCCACGAGGCUGGCAGAUGCAGAACUGCUCCGUCCCUGGGAGGAGGGUGAAGGGGCCCUCGCAUCCCCACCAUGGGUUAGUUAUUUUGGGAACCGUCUGGAGCUGGCAGCUGGUGCUGGGGUGGGUGACAGCUGAGCAUGGCUUUCACUUGGGAUCCGCGAGGCCCCUUCUCACGCAUCUAUUUCCGACCCUGUAAAACACAAUCUGCCAGGGUGUGAGCUUGGGGGGGCACCCAAAAAAGCUGCUUGCAAGGGACCGGCUUGUGCUAGGCAGCUCAGGGUCCCCGUGCACCUUGGAGGUGCCUCCAAGCGUGGUUAGGAAGUUGCAGAGAUGCUGUCCUUUAACUCCUGCCUGCGCAGCACCGACUCAGUGAGGUCUGUGCCUGGUGCUAACUGCCAUAGCCCCUGUCAGCAGCCCAACCAGUGAGGUUUGGUGUCCUACACGUCUCCCACGCACUUUCUCUGGGGUCUAAUUGACGGAAAGUGUUUGCCUGUCCAGCUAAAAAUAGCAAGAACUUCAUGUAACUUGAGAUGAGCCCUAAAUACUUUUCCUCCCAGCUUUCCGCUUCCACAGGCUUUGCACGUGUCUUCCUCUGUUCCCCUAAUUAUGGAUUAGAGAGUAAUGAGAGACAGUGAGCCCAUUUCCCCCAAGGUCUGACAGGAUGGUAGUACCAAGGGCUCCUUCUACAUGCCAAUCCCUCACCAAUCACCAGGAAAUACCUGGACUAAGGCUUGUUCUGCUGCAAAAUUCCCCCAAGAAUAUACAGGGGAAAAGCAUCUUCUUCGUGUACAGGGAAAAUUUAGAAGUGGAGCUGCAGGCUGCCAUGGAGACAGGGCUCUGUUUGCAGUCCUCCUGCCUUUUAUUGUCUCCUCGCCUCUCCCAGGUGGUUGAAAAGCAGCCAGGAGCAUAGCCAGCAUUGUCUCCUGUGCUCCUGCUGACCAUGGCUGCCAUGUAAGUGCUUAGGAGGCCCAGCUGGGUUUCCUCUCUGGUCCUUCACCUCCUCCUGCUUUUUGACACCCCCUUGCUAUAUCUGGGGAUCAUAAAGCAAAUCUGUGCUGCUUCUCUCUCAGCCUCAUUGGGCUCAUGUGCAACGUGAGUGCCAUCAGGGUUUGGGGGCCCUCUGCUUGCUCUCCCUUGCUCUUUUCCCACUGGUGGUGGCCAGGUAGCCAAGGGCAUGAGCAGCCAAGGCUGAGCCAGGGCUGCUUCUCCUGGGACAUACCGUUAUGGUCAGGCUGGAAACUGCCUGCUGCAGUGGGAAGCUCUGAUGGAAGCUUCCUGAGAAGCAGGAGGGGAAAUAACUGCCCCUGGCAGCAGCUGAAAUGCCUCAGUCUCUGCCCUUAGCAGUAAGGCUGUGAGCAUCAGAGGAAGCGUUUCUCUGAGGUAGGACCUAAAGAUCUUCCAGCAAAUUAAACUUCUCCAUGUCAAGUCUGUGCUUGACUUCACAACACCUGGGUUCCAAAACUAAGCUGCGCAUUAUUUUUAUGCUGUCCUUCCUUGUUUGUGAUACCAGUUGUGUGGUGGUUUGUCUAAAUGCUGGGUAUUUCUGUGUGCUGCGUGAUGCUCAGUCAAGUGGGAGCUGAGAAAAGGCAACUUCUGCAUGUUGAUAGAAUGCCUGUUGCAGUCCUUGCUGUGAAAAGCAUCUGCUGUGCUGCCGCUGUCUUCUCAUCCUUCAACUCCCUCUCUGGCUUUCCAGAGUGUUACAUGUCCCUGAUCCUGCUCUGCUCUACCAGGCUUCAAGGCAGCAGCCACAGAAGAAAAAGAAAAGGCAAAUUCAGUUUUCACUUCCUAUGUUCCUCCUCCUCUUUUUUUUUUUUUUUUUUUUUUUUAAACUUGGCUCGUUGUGAAAACCACCCCUUUAAUGCCUGGCUGCCAAAUAGAGCAAUUCUUUCAAAAGAGAAAUGUACAUCAAAGUUGCAAGGAAUAUUCAAUUAACCUUUAAAGGAGAUCAUCCAUAACUGGCUUACAGAGAUGUCAUUUCAUUGUUUCAAAAAAAUAAACACAGGCACUUGCCUUUCAGAGGAGCAUGUCUGUUGAGACAGUUCUGGCUGAUGUCUUGCUAAAAGGCAAUUAAAUAUCUGAAUGUUCCUUCCAGCUUGCAUUCUGAGUUAGAACCUCUGACAUAGCUGUCUUUGCUUAGGCAAUAUGGCAAGUAGCCAAAUUUAUCCCUUCUGCAUUGAGGAAACCUGGAUAAACUCCUCGGGGAAAAUACCACUGA
Molecule: long non-coding RNA, 3129 nt
Organism: Falco peregrinus (peregrine falcon)
Lineage: Eukaryota; Metazoa; Chordata; Aves; Falconiformes; Falconidae
Exons: 2
Source: RefSeq, a predicted model, not a curated record